GACGAACGCUGGCGGCGUGCUUAACACAUGCAAGUCGAACGGUAAGGCCCUUCGGGGUACACGAGUGGCGAACGGGUGAGUAACACGUGGGUGAUCUGCCCUGCACUUCGGGAUAAGCCUGGGAAACUGGGUCUAAUACCGGAUAGGACUCCGGACUGCAUGGUCUGGGGUGGAAAGCUUUUGCGGUGUGGGAUGGGCCCGCGGCCUAUCAGCUUGUUGGUGGGGUGAUGGCCUACCAAGGCGACGACGGGUAGCCGGCCUGAGAGGGUGACCGGCCACACUGGGACUGAGCUACGGCCCAGACGCCUACGGGAGGCAGCAGUGGGGAAUAUUGCACAAUGGGCGCAGGCCUGAUGCAGCGACGCCGCGUGAGGGAUGACGGCCUUCGGGUUGUAAACCUCUUUCAGCAUCGACGAAGCGAAAGUGACGGUAGGUGCAGAAGAAGGACCGGCCAACUACGUGCCAGCCGCCGCAGUAA
Molecule: ribosomal RNA, 478 nt
Filed under: uncultured bacterium
Lineage: Bacteria
Description: partial 16S ribosomal RNA
Rfam family: Bacterial small subunit ribosomal RNA
Source: RNAcentral